GGAGCGCUGGCCCCUGGCACCGCGCGGGUCACGGCUCUGCGAGUGCUUUUUGUGGGAUGAGCGGUCCUUCCCCUUUCUCCCUCCAGGCUGGGAUGGACUCGGAACCUGAGGGUCCAAGGGCCAGAAAUGUUUCAUCGGGCAGGCUCCCACACUGAGAAGGAGCCAGGAUGACCAUGGGGCGAUGUGCUGGGGAAGGAUCCGGGCAGGCAAAGAGCGGGGAGCUGGCAGGACAGGCACGUGUAGGGGAAACUCCGUCCAUCCUCACGCCCGGUUGGGGUCUUUGUUUGAGGUCUCCGCAGAGCACACGAGCCGGUGAACCAGGCUCGCUGUCCCCACUGGUGUCACACCCGUGACCCGGGCUGCCUCCGUGGUGGAAGUAGGUGGUGAAAGGUCCCGGUGGGAUGGGUGGCAGUUCCCCUGCAGCCGGCUGCUAACCCCGCAGCCCCGUGUCUCGCUGUGCACGGCACAGCUUUGCACGGUUCUGCAUAGUUUUGCGUGGCAGGCUCGGCACAGCCGGGCACGGAGCAGGGUCAGGGCAGGAGAGUCUGCAAAGGGAAAUCUCGGGUUCCUGACUCCGGGAUGGGGGUGUUUGUGCUCUGCUGUAUCUCUGGGGUGUCUCUCUCCACGAUGCCGUGGGGUACAGGUAGUUCCUUAGGUGGGCUCCUGCUGUCUCUGGGAGCGUGUAUGUGUGGGGUGGGAAGUGUUUGCCUGACAGCUGUCUGUGGGACUGACAACACCCUCUCCCUCCACCAGCCCAGAGUGCCAGAGGUGGCCUCUCUGCAGGGAGGUGAUGCUGGCUGAGCUGGAGCCCAAAAUCCCACACUUCCCAGUGGCUCCUUGGCCAGCGUGGAGCAUUCCAAGCCCGGCUGGACACAGAGAACUUCCUAUUGCUCAGAGAAGAGCCUCUUGCAGCUGUGUGGGUGGCAUGGCUUUGUGGGUGCCAGGGCUGUGUUAUCUUGUUCCAACCCCCCCUUUCAGUCUGUUUGCUCAGGUGGACUUUGCUUUGCAGCAGGAGGAAGCUCGGGCCCAUGAGAUAGAAAGGUGUUGUGUCCCAACCUGCUGUGAACCUUGGAGCCUUCUGCCAGGGGUUGCUCUGGUGCCUCUUCCCCUUUCAGCUGUGCUCCUUGCAAGCUCCUGGGGUCCCCUCUUCCAUCUGGGGGGGGGGGGGGGUGCAGGGGCAAGCCCACCUCUCUCUGAGAUGGCAGCAGAAGCCAUGGAGAUUUUGGAAGCAAUGCCACACUCCAAGUACUCCAGCACAUGUGCAGGGAAGCAGCCCCAUGGCUCCUCUUAAAAAAAAACAAUAUUAAAACAUUGCAAGAAGUCAUGGCCCAGCAGGGAAAUUUAAGGGAGGGAGGGAGGACUCUCAAGCCUGCAGAUUACAAACUUGUACACUCCAGUGUAUUCCCAGGCAAUGGAAAUCCAAACUCAUUGCAGAUCCUCUAGGUAGGCCCUUGGAGAGCCUGGGGUGUGACCUGGGGACUGCUGGUGUCUUGAGGUGUUGAUUUAUUUAUUUUUUUCCAGCAUUUUUCACUUGCUCCAGCUCUUCUGGAGAGCUCAGAUCUCAUCCACAAACCCAGCAGAGGGUGUGUUAUCUCCUCUCUGGCUCUCAUCCUUAUUAUAGUCGAGCUGCUUCUGGGUUCAGGUUCUCUGAAGGUAUCUGGCUGCAGUCUGUUAAAUCCUCAGCUCCAUGCAUCCCCUCAGCUCCUGCUGGAGACAUUCACAUGGUCCCUGGAAGGCUUUGCAAGCCUUGGACUGGCAGGAGCGCCUUCCUCCUCUUCAGUUUUACAGCAGUUGGGAACUGGCUCUCUCUGCUUCGUGGCUUUGCUGGAAAAAAAAUAGCUGAGAAAAGCCAGGAAAUCAUAAAGGAGCGGGGAGCUGGCUGUGCAGUGAGUAAUGGGGUGAGCAGGCAGCAGCCUGGCCAGGCUCCCCCCUCUGCACCCAGGCAGUUCCCUCUCUGCUCAUCUCUCCAAAAUUACACAACUUCUCUCCAGUGAAGGUCGUGGGGUUGGUUCUGAGUGUUCACAGAAGCAGCUGGGGUUGUUGCCCUGCUGCCCCAAGCCAGAUUGCGUGGCUGUGCUGUGGCCAGGAUGCUGGGGUUUUUCCACAAAUGAUUUUUCCACUUCCCUGGCUCAAACUGCAGGGGGUUAGUCCAAAAGGCAGGUUUUUUUUUUUUUUUUUUUUUUUUUUCCCCUCCUCUCUGCUGGCAAUUUGUGGUUGCCAGACCAGGGGCUGGAGAAGAAAGGAGCUAAAUGAGAUCACUGUUCAUUGCUUUCCUCUGACACUGGUGGGACUUGAGCAGCACCUGAGGCUUCCACAGAGCUGGGAUUUUCAUUUCUCUUCCACCCCUGCCUCUCCUCCAGAGCUGAACCUGGAGGAGCUGUGUCCUCAGAGCACACCAGGUUUUUUGUUCUUUAGUGCAGCACUAAAUUGAUCAGUGAGAGUCCAACCUGGGACUUGCUGUUUACUGGGCAGUGUAACAGUGAUCAUUUAUAUCACAUUUGCAAGAAUGGGAUGAAAACACUUAUUUUCCUGCAUAGCAGGGGGGGGGGAAAGUAAUAAAACAGUGAAGGGGGACAGCAACCCUAAAUGUUGUGUCUAAUCUGAAGAGCAUGAUCUUGCCCGCCGUUAAAAACGUCCUGAGAACAAAGUGGGUGGUUUUAUUUCAAGGUCAGCACAGAGACGCAGAAAAGUUUCUUUUCCCCUUUGACUGCUGGAAAAGUUGAGUUGGAAACACAAGGGAGCAAGUCUGGGUAAUGUUUUUUUUUAACACUUGCCCUGCCAGUCCAUCCAGGAGGGUCCUUGCUGACAAGGCUGACGUUGUGUGGUAUAUUUUGGUGUGGUGUUUUCAGAAUUUCCUUCUGACCAGGGGCCAUUGUGUUUGUUGACAAAUGACCAGGUGACACAGGAAAGCAUCUGUCCAAGAUUGUAUCUGUGUGAUUGGGAAAGCAGACUGUUCUCUGGAGAGGUGCCAAAAAUAGAAAGGGAGGGUCAUUCAGGGCAGGAGGGAUGGGGUGGGCUCGUUAAAACACGGUGAUGUUUGUUACUCUGACCUGUAGAAUCUUAUGGCUGUGAAAAGGUGCUCUUUUUUCUUUUCCCCCUCUUUCCCAGCACAUCUUUGAUUCCCCCUGAAUAUGAGGCAACACACCAAAGUGACUUCAUUCUAGUAAGAGAGGAGUUAAAAAACAUGAUCCCCACCCACUCAGCUGGACCCCCAGUGUGGAUGCAGGAACACACUGCAGUGUGCUGUCCAAGCAUGUGGAAUUCUGGCCAGCUGUGGCUGUUCCCUGGGGCCCUGACCACAGCAAAGGCUGCUGACAGGGCACAGAAUUUGGGCCCAGGAGGGCUGGUGUCAUCCUGUGUCCCCUGCAGCACAUCCCCUCUGCCUGUCCCCCUUCCCGGAGCAGCCACGUGACAGCAGAGGCAAAAGUGGGUCCCACAGCAGCACUGAAGGCCUUGAGAGGGGGGAAAAAAUUUUGGCAGGAAAGCUGAAUGGGUUGCAGGGAGGAAGGCAUUGAAAUAAUUAAUUUCCCUGGGAACUGGUUUGCUCCACUCCAAGUGGAGGGAUCUGGACCACACAGGCUCGUGAGUCCCUGCUGGGUGAACCCCAAAGACGGGUUUUGGGUUGUUCUCACCCCCCAGAUGACAGUCCCUGGAGGAGCUGGCUGAGGACAGCAUGAGGAGGGGAGAAGCUGGAUGGUUUCCCCGCUCCUCCUUGCAGGCCAGUCUUUGCUGCAGGUCCCUUGGGUAGGCACAGGGAUGUUGGGAGCUCGGAGCGCUGUUUUCCUCCCUUUAGGAACGAGGAGCUGCUCCCCCCUUGCCAGGAGGGCCCAGGCUGUGGUUGCCUGCAGUGCCACUGAACUGGCUGCCCCCUGUUACACCAAGAGUUUGCCACUCAAAUCCAAAUAGGAGAUGAAUUGUCCCUGCAGGUCAGGGCUGAGGAUUCCCGACGCCCCCGCGGUGAGUUCACCCGGAGAGUCCCCACAACGCUCUGCUGGGACUUGUUCCCUGCUGGGAAAUUUUGCAGAAACCCAGAGGUUAAGGGUGCUGUUUGUGUUGCCUUGGCUGGGUACCCACCUUGGCACUGAUUCACUCUGCUCCUGCUGCCGGGAAAGAGGGGAGGUGGCUGAGGGGGGAAAGGUGCUCGCUGAGGAGGAGAAACUUCGGUGGCUCUUUCCAGGUGAGAUGUUUUUUUGAGUGACAUGCUUUGGUUCUUGCUCCACCUGAGCCAUAACCAGGGCAGGGAGAGCUGGGAGGUUGAGGAAAGCCAAGCAAGGCUUUGGGACAGGCUGGGGGAAGAGAAGAGCUUGACUUCUUGCUCAGCACAGGGUGGCCACUGCAGGGUACAUGUCUCUCAGAACAUGGACAUCCCCAGCAAGGAUCACUUUGGGUUUGCUUGGAGCCGGGGAAAGGUGGGAUUUGUCUCCUCAGAAGGACUCGUGCCACAGGAGCCAGGUCCUUGAACAACACAGCUUUAUUAAAGCUGUUCUUGGCUCACUGGCUGUUUCAGUGCUGGCAGCACGGCCCGUUCCUGCCUUUUCCCAGUGCAUCUCCCUCGGUGUCAGCAAAUGUUGUGCUGGAAAUCCCUGACACCUGGAGUUGAGGCAGGGGGGAGCUGUGAAUCUCUCACAGGUCUCAGCCACGAGGAGGAAGAAGCUGGCUGUCUGAAGGCUAAUUCCUAAAUAGACGGAUCAGGAGGAUUAAUCAGUUGCUCAGCACGUUCUCAUUUUACAGAAAUUGCCUCCAACCUGGGAAGUGCUGCACUGUUUUUAAUCUCCUGCCUGUAGAGGUUUUCAGCCUGAGUGCAAAACAUGGUUAUCCCUGUUUGCUUCUUUCCAGACUGAAUGCUGAUUGUUCAGAGUGAAUUAAAAUUAAAUCCACAGCUGAAGAACAUGCCAGAGUCAGCUCCUGGUUUCAGUCCACUCGUCUGUGGGCUGUGCUCGGUGUGGGAGCUCGCAGCUGGAAGAUGGAAGGCAGCUGGACUGAAUGUUGGGUGGCAAUGUGGGUCGUUCCAGUGGUGCCAGUGUCUCAGUGGGAAAUCUCCCCAUUAAAUCUGCGAAAAAAACAACGACUCCAUAGCAAUUUCACAAGCAUUUUUGGUAUCUCUCCCUUCCCAAGCCUUCUUCGUGACUUAUGACCAGGUCAGAAGGUCUGUAGGUAAAAUGCCAAAACUGUUGACCCAGGCAGAAAAGGAGGUCUGCUGUAGCUGAUCAUAAUGGGUUAUUCUGGCUUUAACAUUUCGAGUUUCAUUUCUGUUCCACAUGCUGUUGGGUUGAGAAAAACUAAUAAUUUUUUUCUCCAGGAUGCCAGUUGUUCAGAAGCAAGGGAGGGAAGGCUGCAGAGGAGGUUUGGGACUGCUUACUCAGUGAGGCAUGGAGAUAAUGGCUGUGUGAUACUUGCUUAACAGAACCAAACAAGGCUCCUUGCAGUGUUGCCUCCCUUCUUGGUGAAGGACAGAACCCCCAGCUGUCGUUUGAGGAAGCCGUGGAUGUGGGAUGUGACCUGGCAGCAAUUUGUCCUUGCCACAGUGGGGCUGGGAAAACCUUUAAUCCUUUACAUACACCAGUGACUCUGCUGCAGGCUUCUGGGUGGGAUUGGACCUGGGACUAGCCCACUGUGCUCGGGCAGCACGAGGAUGAGACCUUCGUUUUUUGGCUGGAGCAUUUCUGGAGCCAGAACUUUGUGGUUCACCCCACUGAUGGCAAAGAUUUGUGACUCUCACCCUUGUUAUUUCU
Long non-coding RNA from Empidonax traillii (willow flycatcher), 5732 nucleotides. RefSeq lists it as uncharacterized. The record is from RefSeq and is a predicted model, not a curated record. NCBI's taxonomy places the organism in Eukaryota, Metazoa, Chordata, Aves, Passeriformes, Tyrannidae. The transcript has 3 exons.